This 603-nucleotide ribosomal RNA is filed under the name Mycenella salicina. RNAcentral describes it as "eukaryotic LSU rRNA". The stretch from base 247 to 400 matches the Rfam family "5.8S ribosomal RNA". The record is from RNAcentral. Lineage: Eukaryota; Fungi; Basidiomycota; Agaricomycetes; Agaricales.
CGGAAGGAUCAUUAUUGAAGUUGAUUCGGGCUGUCGCUGGCUCUUAGGAGCAUGUGCACGCUCGUUCAUAUUCUUAUUCUCUUGUGCACCUUUAGCUAGACUAUGAAUACCUCUCGAGCGUAAAUCUCGGAUGGAGGGUUGCGCUUCAGCUUCCCUUGCAUUUUCAUAGUCUAUGUCUUCAUAUACCCUUUGUAUGUCUCUGAAUGCUUUUUUUGUGGGUUCUUGUAACCUAUAAAAUGUUAGUACAACUUUCAACAACGGAUCUCUUGGCUCUCGCAUCGAUGAAGAACGCAGCGAAAUGCGAUAAGUAAUGUGAAUUGCAGAAUUCAGUGAAUCAUCGAAUCUUUGAACGCACCUUGCACCCUUUGGUAUUCCGAAGGGUAUGCCUGUUUGAGUGUCAUUAAAUUCUCAACCAUUGAACUUGUUUCUUUGGCUUGGAUGUGGGGGUUGCCGGCUUUGCAAAGAAGUCGGCUCUCCUUAAAUGCAUUAGUGGAAACCGCUUGCAGGAUUCAUUCACUUUUUGGCGUGAUAGUAUCGUCGUCAUGAAGGUCAUGUCUCCGAGGUAUCUGCUCUCUAACUGUCCGUAAGGACUCUUAAUGACUU